This 327-nucleotide ribosomal RNA is filed under the name uncultured eukaryote. RNAcentral's name for it is "partial 18S ribosomal RNA". It matches the Rfam family "Eukaryotic small subunit ribosomal RNA", at positions 1470 to 1796 of the family's 1831-position model. The record is from RNAcentral.
CCCUUAGAUGUUCUGGGCCGCACGCGCGCAACACUGACGAAUGCAACGAGCUUAUAACCUUGGCCGAAAGGUCUGGGUAAUCUCCAAAUUUCGUCGUGAUGGGGAUAGAUUAUUGCAAUUAUUAAUCUUCAACGAGGAAUGCCUAGUAAGCGCAAGUCAUCAGCUUGCGUUGAUUACGUCCCUGCCCUUUGUACACACCGCCCGUCGCUCCUACCGAUUGAAUGGUCCGGUGAAGCGUUCGGACCGUGGCCUUUGGACGGUUCGCCGUCUGUUGGCUGCGGGAAGUUCGUUAAACCUUAUCAUUUAGAGGAAGGAGAAGUCGUAACA